Molecule: ribosomal RNA, 803 nt
Filed under: Neostictis nigricans
Lineage: Eukaryota; Fungi; Ascomycota; Lecanoromycetes; Ostropales; Stictidaceae
Description: partial large subunit ribosomal RNA
Rfam family: Eukaryotic large subunit ribosomal RNA
Source: RNAcentral
GGCGAGUGAAGCGGCAACAGCUCAAAUUUGAAAUCUGGGCCCCAGCGGCCCCGAGUUGUAAUUUGUAGAGGAUGUUUCGGGUGAGGCACCGAUCUAAGUUCCUUGGAACAGGGCGUCAUAGAGGGUGAGAAUCCCGUAUGCGACCGGUGACCGAUCCCAUGUGAAACUCCUUCGACGAGUCGAGUUGUUUGGGAAUGCAGCUCAAAAUGGGUGGUAAAUUUCAUCUAAAGCUAAAUACUGGCCAGAGACCGAUAGCGCACAAGUAGAGUGAUCGAAAGAUGAAAAGCACUUUGGAAAGAGAGUUAAAAAGUACGUGAAAUUGUUGAAAGGGAAGCGCUUGCAGCCAGACUCGACCGGGGGUGAUCAGCCGUCCUUUUGGGCGGUGCACUCUCCCCCGGGCGGGCCAGCAUCGGUUCGGGCGGCCGGAUAAAGGCCUUGGGAACGUAGCUCCUCUCGGGGAGUGUUAUAGCCCAAGGUGCAAUGCGGCCAGCCUGGACCGAGGACCGCGCUUUUUGCUAGGAUGCUGGCGUAAUGGCUGUCAGCGACCCGUCUUGAAACACGGACCAAGGAGUCGACCAACCGUGCGAGUGUUUGGGUGUCAAACCCGUGCGCGUAAUGAAAGUGAACGGAGGUGAGAACCCCUUACGGGGCGCAUCAUCGACCGAUCCUGAUGUCUUCGGAUGGAUUUGAGUAAGAGCACAGCUGGUCGGACCCGAAAGAUGGUGAACUAUGCGUGAAUAGGGUGAAGCCAGAGGAAACUCUGGUGGAGGCUCGCAGCGGUUCUGACGUGCAAAUCGAUCGUC